Molecule: ribosomal RNA, 484 nt
Filed under: uncultured bacterium
Lineage: Bacteria
Description: partial 16S ribosomal RNA
Rfam family: Bacterial small subunit ribosomal RNA
Source: RNAcentral
AUUGAACGCUGGCGGCAGGCCUAACACAUGCAAGUCGAGCGGAUGAAGGGAGCUUGCUCCUGGAUUCAGCGGCGGACGGGUGAGUAAUGCCUAGGAAUCUGCCUGGUAGUGGGGGAUAACGUCCGGAAACGGGCGCUAAUACCGCAUACGUCCUGAGGGAGAAAGUGGGGGAUCUUCGGAUCUCACGCUAUCAGAUGAGCCUAGGUCGGAUUAGAUAGUUGGUGGGGUAAAGGCCUACCAAGGCGACGAUCCGUAACUGGUCUGAGAGGAUGAUCAGUCACACUGGAACUGAGACACGGUCCAGACUCCUACGGGAGGCAGCAGUGGGGAAUAUUGGACAAUGGGCGAAAGCCUGAUCCAGCCAUGCCGCGUGUGUGAAGAAGGUCUUCGGAUUGUAAAGCACUUUAAGUUGGGAGGAAGGGCAGUAAGUUAAUACCUUGCUGUUUUGACGUUACCAACAGAAUAAGCACCGGCUAACUUCGUG